Non-coding RNA from Spea bombifrons (plains spadefoot toad), 1540 nucleotides. The record is from the annotation of a RefSeq genome assembly. NCBI's taxonomy places the organism in Eukaryota, Metazoa, Chordata, Amphibia, Anura, Pelobatidae.
ACAGGAAGUCAUUUAUAUAGUACAUAAUCUAAAACCACAAUACAGUACAUUAUUGUCAUCAACUACUGUUAUUCUGAAGACGUCAAGAUGUCUCUUCGCUGUAUUAUGCUUUUUAUGGUAUUAAUGACAGGUAACUUAUUAAUAGUCACUUUGUCGAAUUCUUUCUUUGUUCUAAUUAUUACUAAGUUUAAUUCAGUCUAUAGAAAAUGUACGUAAAAUAAUAUUUGACUGUUCUUGACUACAGCAAUAUAUAUACUGUUUAUACAUGUAACUAAAAUUGUGCUGUAUUCACACAGAGUAUAGUGAAGGGUUCACCUUAGUACAACCUGAUAUGUCAUUGACAAAGUUAGAAAGGAGAACUGCCCGAAUUGAGUGUAUAAUGGAAGGAUUAAAUAUAAAAGAUGAACAUGUGCACUGGUAUCGGAUUGAGGAAAACAAGAGUCCGGAAUGGAUCCUCUACUAUAAAAGUUCAUCUAACUACAGGAAUGGAGAGAAAUUCAAAAAUGGGUUCUCAGCUGGGAAGAAUUAUGAAAAAAACUCAUGUAUACUCACGUUGACAAAUCCUUUAGCAAAAGAAUCAGCGACAUACUUUUGUGGCGUGUUUGACAAUUUUGUAUAUAUGGUAUUUGGAUCUGGAACAAAACUCACUGUAACAAACACACGGACUGUUAAAGCACCCCAGGCGACCAUCUUGAGUACAUCGAAGGAGAGAAUUGAGAGAACAGGCCAGGUUAUAUACAUGUGUCUCCUAGAUAAUUUUUACCCUGAUGUAAUCAAAGUGACCUGGAGAAAAGAGGGAAGCACAGAGGAGUUAUUGUCUGAACAAGGAGAAAUGAUGCUAGAUGAUAAAAUCCAAACGUACUCUUUAACUAGCUGGAUUACAGUGAGCAAAAAUGAAUUGGGCGAGAGGUUUUUCUGCCGGUAUAAACAUGAAGGAAAUACGCAUCCGAAUUUGUGGGGUGAAAUUUCCACAACUGGACCUCAACCUAAGAAAGAUCGUAGUGAUAAAAACUCAAUUCUCAUUGAUACAAGAGAAAAUGAUAAAACAUGUGUUAAAAUAUAUAACAAUUCCACUGAUUAUCCAGAAUCACCUUUUAAAGCUACAACCUACCGUGCAGCAUACCUUACAUAUAUUUUAAUGCUCCUGAAAAGUGUUCUGUAUUGCCCCAUCAUGAUCUUUACAUACAAGGCCACAGCAUAAGUCUCUCUUAACAGGAGAGGAAGACGACAUUGUUGCUUUGCUUAGAAAAGUUAUGCUGUUGGAUUUAGUUUCAAACAUAGAAAGUGACGGCAGAUGAGAACCAUUAGGUCCAUCCAGUCUGCCCAACCUCUGAGUCCUUUCCUUAAUACCUGGCCUUAUACUAUAUCUAGCUUAGCCUUAUGCCUAUCCCAUGCUCACUUCUUGAUUGCUAUUAGUAUAAUAAUACCAGAUUUUGGAACCAAUGUAAGCAAUUUGUUUAGGUAGGUGCAUCAUAUAUAUUUAAAGCUUUCGUUAUUAUCUUUUAUUGGUAACUGAUAAUAAAGAGCUUAGAUUUUAUUA